Molecule: ribosomal RNA, 440 nt
Filed under: uncultured bacterium
Lineage: Bacteria
Description: partial 16S ribosomal RNA
Rfam family: Bacterial small subunit ribosomal RNA
Source: RNAcentral
CCUACGGGAGGCAGCAGUGGGGAAUAUUGCACAAUGGGGGAAACCCUGAUGCAGCGACGCCGCGUGAAGGAAGAAGUAUUUCGGUAUGUAAACUUCUAUCAGCAGGGAAGAAAAUGACGGUACCUGACUAAGAAGCCCCGGCUAACUACGUGCCAGCAGCCGCGGUAAUACGUAGGGGGCAAGCGUUAUCCGGAUUUACUGGGUGUAAAGGGAGCGUAGGCGGUGCAGCAAGUCAGAAGUGAAAGGCCGGGGCUUAAACCCGGGACUGCUUUUGAAACUGUGGAGCUAGAGUGCAGGAGAGGUAAGUGGAAUUCCUAGUGUAGCGGUGAAAUGCGUAGAUAUUAGGAGGAACACCAGUGGCGAAGGCGGCUUACUGGACUGUAAAUGACGCUGAGGCUCGAAAGCGUGGGGAGCAAACAGGAUUAGAUACCCGUGUAGUC